GUCCUGAAAGCUUUAAGCGACCUACUUUGUAAAUAGGUAGAAGAUAUAAUCUUAUCUCAUGACU
Molecule: transfer RNA, 64 nt
Filed under: Ophioplinthus gelida
Lineage: Eukaryota; Metazoa; Echinodermata; Ophiuroidea; Amphilepidida; Ophiuridae
Description: tRNA-Thr
Source: RNAcentral